RNAcentral lists this ribosomal RNA (715 nucleotides) under uncultured Actinomycetales bacterium. RNAcentral's name for it is "bacterial SSU rRNA". It matches the Rfam family "Bacterial small subunit ribosomal RNA", at positions 56 to 783 of the family's 1533-position model. The record is from RNAcentral. Lineage: Bacteria; Bacillati; Actinomycetota; Actinomycetes; Actinomycetales.
UGCAAGUCGAACGGAAAGGCCCUGCUUGCAGGGUACUCGAGUGGCGAACGGGUGAGUAACACGUGGGUGAUCUGCCCUGCACUUCGGGAUAAGCUUGGGAAACUGGGUCUAAUACCGGAUAGGAGCCAUCUUUAGUGUGGUGGUUGGAAAGUUUUUUCGGUGUAGGAUGAGCUCGCGGCCUAUCAGCUUGUUGGUGGGGUAAUGGCCUACCAAGGCGGCGACGGGUAGCCGGCCUGAGAGGGUGUACGGCCACAUUGGGACUGAGAUACGGCCCAGACUCCUACGGGAGGCAGCAGUGGGGAAUAUUGCACAAUGGGCGCAAGCCUGAUGCAGCGACGCCGCGUGGGGGAUGAAGGCCUUCGGGUUGUAAACUCCUCUCGCUAGGGACGAAGCUUUGUUGUGACGGUACCUAGAUAAGAAGCACCGGCUAACUACGUGCCAGCAGCCGCGGUAAUACGUAGGGUGCGAGCGUUGUCCGGAAUUACUGGGCGUAAAGGGCUCGUAGGUGGUUUGUCGCGUCGUCUGUGAAAUUCUGGGGCUUAACUCCGGGCGUGCAGGCGAUACGGGCAUAACUUGAGUGCUGUAGGGGUAACUGGAAUUCCUGGUGUAGCGGUGAAAUGCGCAGAUAUCAGGAGGAACACCGAUGGCGAAGGCAGGUUACUGGGCAGUUACUGACGCUGAGGAGCGAAAGCAUGGGUAGCGAACAGGAUUAGAU